AUUUCCUUUUCCUUAUCUCUGCCAGGUUUUGACAGUUUGGAAUAAGCCGUAGAGGAUUUUUACCGUCUCUCCUGAGGAUCCCCUACCGCCUGUGCGCAAACAUCCUACACCUGUUCUAGCUUGAGGGCAAUGCCCAGCCCAGCGUUCCAGAAAAGACCCGACUGUCCAGUAAGGGCCGCUCUGCAGAACUCCCUUGGCAGGAGAAUCCCGUCAGAAGCCAGGAUUUAACAAGAAGGUGAACCUGGACCACAGUCAGAACCAAAGAACACUCUGUGUGGAAUGAGAACUCUGCGGAGAAGCCCAUCUUGCUUGGUUCUGAGACCCAUCGCAUCCCCUCAGACCCACAGGAAGCCUGCCUUUCCAACUCUGUGGAAGCCUGGAGUCAUGUCCAACCCCAGUGCCUGCCCAGUUCUCACCCCAGCUCUGAGAGAUCUGGGUUUCUUUCAGAGCUUGGAAGGUGCAGGACUCUCCUAGGCUGUAGCUGCUUUCAAGGAGUUGACCCUAGCUCUGGCAAGAGACAGAACCCAGAGCUGCCCACAACAAGGACUGGAGGAGGCCAUUGCUUGUACAUGAAUUUAUCAAGCAAAGAGAAAGAUCUGGAUGUGAACCCAGCCAGUCGGAACAUUCAAAAUAAGGGCUGGGCUCCUUCAUCGACUGAUUCUGGGAAGAGUCAUCAUCAGACCCUGUUUGCUUGUCCUGUUCCAGCAGACAUGUCUCAUGUUGCCCUGCUUUCCCUCCACUACCUGGGGGACAUGUCACACACUCGGUGUUCAAUGUCGUUGUAUAAAUUCAUUACGUUCC
This 801-nucleotide long non-coding RNA is filed under the name Canis lupus dingo (dingo). RNAcentral describes it as "lncRNA (ENSCAFG00020002673.1)". The record is from RNAcentral. Lineage: Eukaryota; Metazoa; Chordata; Mammalia; Carnivora; Canidae.